AGAGUUUGAUUAUGGCUCAAGAUGAACGCUGGCGGCGUGCUUAACACAUGCAAGUCGAGCGAAGCAUAAGAGAGGAAGUUUUAAAUGGAAUCUAUUAUGACUGAGCGGCGGACGGGUGAGUAACGCGUGGGGAACCUGCCCUAUACAGGGGGAUAACAGUUAGAAAUGACUGCUAAUACCGCAUAAGCGCACGGGGCCGCAUGGCCCUGUGUGAAAAACGAUAGUGGUAUAGGAGGGACCCGCGUCUGAUUAGGUAGUUGGUGAGGUAACGGCCCACCAAGCCGACGAUCAGUAGCCGACCUGAGAGGGUGACCGGCCACAUUGGGACUGAGACACGGCCCAAACUCCUACGGGAGGCAGCAGUGGGGAAUAUUGCACAAUGGGGGAAACCCUGAUGCAGCGACGCCGCGUGAGUGAAGAAGUAUUUCGGUAUGUAAAGCUCUAUCAGCAGGGAAGAAGAAAGACGGUACCUGAGUAAGAAGCCCCGGCUAACUACGUGCCAGCAGCCGCGGUAAUACGUAAGGGGCAAGCGUUAUCCGGAUUUACUGGGUGUAAAGGGAGCGUAGACGGCGAAGAAAGUCUGAAGUGAAAGCCCGCGGCUCAACCGCGGAAUGGCUUUGGAAACUUUUUUGCUGGAGUACCGGAGAGGUAAGCGGAAUUCCUAGUGUAGCGGUGAAAU
Molecule: ribosomal RNA, 679 nt
Filed under: uncultured bacterium
Lineage: Bacteria
Description: bacterial SSU rRNA
Rfam family: Bacterial small subunit ribosomal RNA
Source: RNAcentral